GGGGAUGUGGCUCAGUGGUAGAGCACUUGCCUAGCAAGCGCAAGGCCCUGGGUUCAGUCCCCAGCCCCA
RNAcentral lists this transfer RNA (69 nucleotides) under Rattus norvegicus (Norway rat). It matches the Rfam family "tRNA". Rfam says of the family: Transfer RNA (tRNA) molecules are approximately 80 nucleotides in length. Their secondary structure includes four short double-helical elements and three loops (D, anti-codon, and T loops). Further hydrogen bonds mediate the characteristic L-shaped molecular structure. tRNAs have two regions of fundamental functional importance: the anti-codon, which is responsible for specific mRNA codon recognition, and the 3' end, to which the tRNAs corresponding amino acid is attached (by aminoacyl-tRNA synthetases). tRNAs cope with the degeneracy of the genetic code in two manners: having more than one tRNA (with a specific anti-codon) for a particular amino acid; and 'wobble' base-pairing, i.e. permitting non-standard base-pairing at the 3rd anti-codon position. Lineage: Eukaryota; Metazoa; Chordata; Mammalia; Rodentia; Muridae. The record is from Rfam by way of RNAcentral.